CCUACGGGUGCAGCAGUGGGGAAUAUUGGACAAUGGGCGAAAGCCUGAUCCAGCAAUGCCGCGUGUGUGAAGAAGGUCUUCGGAUUGUAAAGCACUUUCGACGGGGACGAUGAUGACGGUACCCGUAGAAGAAGCCCCGGCUAACUUCGUGCCAGCAGCCGCGGUAAUACGAAGGGGGCUAGCAUUGCUCGGAAUGACUGGGCGUAAAGGGCGCGUAGGCGGUUUAUGCAGUCAGAUGUGAAAUCCCCGGGCUUAACCUGGGAACUGCAUUUGAGACGCAUAGACUAGAGGUCAAGAGAGGAGUGUGGAAUUCCCAGUGUAGAGGUGAGAUUCGUAGAUAUUGGGAAGAACACCGGUGGCGAAGGCGGCAACCUGGCUCGAUACUGACGCUGAGGCGCGAAAGCGUGGGGAGCAAACAGGAUUAGAUACCCUCGUAGUC
RNAcentral lists this ribosomal RNA (439 nucleotides) under uncultured bacterium. RNAcentral describes it as "bacterial SSU rRNA". It matches the Rfam family "Bacterial small subunit ribosomal RNA", at positions 338 to 795 of the family's 1533-position model. The record is from RNAcentral.